GAAGGUAAUACUGUAGUAUUAUAAUAAUCAUGCUCAUUCAUACAAAUAUUUGAAAGAAGAAGGAGAAGAAAAAUAAUGUAAUGUGUUUGACAACAAAAUACUUUAUUUUGGCUUCAAAUCAUAAUUAUCACAAGUGCUGAAAAUAUGACUAGUCUUUUCAUUAAAAGGUUCUGCUUGGAUAAUGGAUGUAUCUGGAAGUCCUUCAAAAAAGUUUUGCUGUCCUGUUUGUGGAAAGACAUACUGUGGCAAGCAAAAUUUAAACCGUCAUAUUGACAGUAGACAUCGAGGAAAGACUUACACUUGUGAAAUUUGUUUCAAGUUUUUCCUUUCAAUUACUGCCUUGUAUCGACACAAAACUUAUCAUCAAGAACUAAAGAAACAUCAGUGUAAAAUCUGAAGAAGUGGCAGUUCCACCUUGAACCACUGUUACUGUUUCCUCUGUAGUAAACAGUUCACCAAUAUGACCAAUUAUAAAACACACAUGAUGAAACAUGCACAAACCAGAAAGAAAUAUGUUUGUUCCAUAUGUAACCUCAGUUAUUACUGGAAGAAUAACCUCAGCCGUCACAAGCAACAGAAACAUGGGACCUUUGCAAGUUACUAUUAUUAAUUUGUAUUGGAUAAGAGCCAUUUGGGGGGGGAGAUAAAUUUAAUUCUCUUCAAGCAAAAGACUGGAAGAAUUUACAAUUGACAGCUUUUUAAAAUUUCUAUUUGAUUAAAUAUUAUGCAAAAGUUCAUGUAAGGACCCCAUAGAUAUGUAAAAUGUCAUGUUUUUAAUUGAUUAGCUAUGGUUGAUAAUAAUGGAACUGAUUAUCGGGACUCUUACAAUUUUAUAAUGAUUUAAAUAAUUGGAAAAAAAAAUUAUGUCCCCCAGUGGCUCAGCUGUAAGUCUGAAGGCUUAUAACCAUGAAAACCAGGAUUCAGCACACAUAGCCCAUUGUUUUGCUAUGUGCUUAAUGAUCAAUCAAACAAAAAAAAUGAAUGGCUGUUAAUGUAUUUGAAAUCAGAAUUAUAGUUUUAGACAGGUAUGAUAGUUUUCAAUUUAUCAACUGCCAUUAGUCAAGAUUAAAUGUGUCAUUUUAUGGAUAUUAGUUCUUUUUUAGACUUAAAACUUAUAUGUGAACAGAUAUAAAUGAGCAAGUUUAUCAUAUGUCUGCUCUACUCUUGUCAUGUUUUUUAAUAAAAAUUCCAUCAAAAUGAAUAUGUCUGAAUUAUGUGUAUUCACUUUACAUUACUACAGUAUUUACUUUACCUAUUAUAAAGACAGUAGUGAAAGAAAAUUUGUAUCAAAGAUGUUAGCAGCUUACAAAAUGAGGUUUUUGAAAUUUUGUUUAUUAUAAACCACUGAUGAAGUUUUCAUUGCUAUAUGAGCCAUGUACAUAAUGGUUUCAACCAAGUGCAAAUUUAUAAGAUGCUGUAUCUGUUCUCUUCUAACGAUGUAGAAUUCUGGCUGUUCUGAAAGUGCUUAUGAUCCUUUUCAUUAAAAAUGAAAGCAUAAAACUGUGUGGAAGAAAGGUUAGGUCACUGAUUGUGGUUUGUAAAAGUAAUGUUUUUACCAGUUGUUGUGACAUUUGAUUUUGACUAGAGGUCUUGCUCAUCUCAUAAAUAAAAAGUUAAUACAUCAUAAUCAUUUAAACAUCAUAUGGUUAAAACAAAUAUAUGUAUGUAUGUGUGUGUGUGUGUGUGUGACAAAAUGAAAAUCUACACAAGAAUAUGUGUAUGUAGAUGCUGUUCACCACACAGUGUGAGCUUCCUAUUGAAAACUGAUGAUGAAAUGCAAGUAAAUCCUGAGUAGAGCAGUACAUACGCUUGCCAGUGGUACAGUGUGAAAUAUGUUACCAAGUGCUGACAUCCAAGACUGUUCUAAAGCGCCACAUGAAGCUUCAUGUGGCUUGCAGGGAGAAGUUUAUCUGUUCCAUAUGUGGCAAAGCCCUCAGCAGAAAGGAUCACUUGACUCGUCACAUGCGACGAAAGCAUGAAGAAAAUAUUUUUUCCUGUCCACAGUGCAGCAAAGUAUUUGUUACCGAGUGGGAUCUGUUUUUCCAUAUCAGGAUCAGUCACUCUUAAUUAAGAUUAAAUGUUGAGCCAACAUGCUUGUUGAAGAAAUAAUCCAAAUGACUGUAUAAAAUCUUAGCUGAGUUUAAUGGCAUCGCUUGUUCUUCUUUGUAAAGGUAAGCUAACAUUUCUCCAGUAUAAAAACCAGUGACUCCAAACCAAGUUGAAAUGUGACCAUUUCUUAUCCUUAUAGUAAGGAAGUCACAUCAAGUCCCCAGUGUAUAGUGUUUUUUCAGUUUCUUUGACACUGCUAAAUUACUAUUAUUUCUGUAAAAUGUAGUUCUGUUGGCUUUUUGUUUUGCUCGAUGUAAGGGAAUGUACAAAAGUAAAUAUUUUACCUUUAGGGCUCACAUUUAACCAUUACUGAAAUCAUUGUCAUCAGUCGUUUGUGGGGUAACAAUAGAAUAAAGUUGUGUGUUUACCUAAAAACUAUACUAAGCCAUUUUCCAAACCCUAAAGCCAUUUGUGUGUGUAUAGAAACUGUACUGAGCCAUUUAGCAAACCUUAAAGUACAUGUAUGUGUUUACCUAAAAACUGUACUAAGCCAUUUUCCAAACCCUAAAGCCACUUGUGUGUGUGUGUUUGUAUAUAUAAACUGUACUGAGCUAUUUAGCAAACCUUAAAGCCACAUGUAUGUGUUUACCUAAAAACUGUACUGAGCCAUUAUGGAAACCCUAAAGCCUUGUGUGUGUUUAUAUAUAAACUGUACUGAGCUAUUUAGCAAACCUUAAAGCCACAUGUAUGUGUUUACCUAAAAACUAUACCAAGCCAUUAUGGAAACCCUAAGGCCUUGUGUGUGUUUAUAUAGAAAAUGUACUGAGUCAUUUAGUAAACCUUAAAGCCACAUGUAUGUGUUUACCUAAAAACUGUACUGAGCCAUUAUGGAAACCCUAAAGCCUUGUGUGUGUUUACAUAGAAACUGUACUGAGUCAUUUAGCAAACAAAGCUGUGUGUGUGUGUUUAUAUAUAAACUGUACUGAGCCAUUUUGCAAACCCUAAAACGAUGUGUGUGUGUGUUUAUAUAUAAACUGUACUGAGCCAUUUUGCAAACCCUAAAACGAUGUGUGUGUGUGUUUAUAUAUAAACUGUACUGAGCCAUUUUGAAAACCCUAAAACCACAUGUGUGUGUGUGUGUUUAUAUAGAAACUGUACUGAGCUAUUUUGCAAACCCUAAAACCACGUGUGUGUGUUAAUAUAAAAACUCUACUGAGCCAUUUUGCAAACCCUAAAGCCAUGUGUGUGUUUAUCCAAAGAUUAUACCAAGCCAUUUUCCAAACCCUAAAGCCACUUGUGUGUGUGUGUGUGUGUUUGUAUAUAUAUAAACUGUACUGAGCUAUUUAGCAAACCUUAAAGCCACAUGUAUGUGUUUACCUAAAAACUGUACUGAGCCAUUAUGGAAACCCUAAGGCCUUGUGUGUGUUUAUAUAGAAACUGUACUGAGCCAUUUUGAAAACCCUAAAACCACAUGUGU
Long non-coding RNA from Limulus polyphemus (Atlantic horseshoe crab), 3526 nucleotides. RefSeq lists it as uncharacterized. The transcript has 4 exons. NCBI's taxonomy places the organism in Eukaryota, Metazoa, Arthropoda, Merostomata, Xiphosura, Limulidae. The record is from RefSeq and is a predicted model, not a curated record.